GGAAUCUUCGGAUUCUAGUGGCGGACGGGUGAGUAACGCGUAAGAAUCUAACUUCAGGACGGGGACAACAGUUGGAAACGACUGCUAAUACCCGAUGUGCCGCAAGGUGAAACCUAAUUGGCCUGAAGAAGAGCUUGCGUCUGAUUAGCUAGUUGGUGGGGUAAGAGCCUACCAAGGCGACGAUCAGUAGCUGGUCUGAGAGGAUGAGCAGCCACACUGGGACUGAGACACGGCCCAGACUCCUACGGGAGGCAGCAGUGGGGAAUUUUCCGCAAUGGGCGAAAGCCUGACGGAGCAACGCCGCGUGAGGGAGGAAGGUCUUUGGAUUGUAAACCUCUUUUCUCAAGGAAGAAGUUCUGACGGUACUUGAGGAAUCAGCCUCGGCUAACUCCGUGCCAGCAGCCGCGGUAAUACGGGGGAGGCAAGCGUUAUCCGGAAUUAUUGGGCGUAAAGCGUCCGCAGGUGGUCAGCCAAGUCUGCCGUCAAAUCAGGUUGCUUAACGACCUAAAGGCGGUGGAAACUGGCAGACUAGAGAGCAGUAGGGGUAGCAGGAAUUCCCAGUGUAGCGGUGAAAUGCGUAGAGAUUGGGAAGAACAUCGGUGGCGAAAGCGUGCUACUGGGCUGUAUCUGACACUCAGGGACGAAAGCUAGGGGAGCGAAAGGGAUUAGAUACCCCUGUAGUCCUAGCCGUAAACGAUGGAUACUAGGCGUGGCUUGUAUCGACCCGAGCCGUGCCGAAGCUAACGCGUUAAGUAUCCCGCCUGGGGAGUACGCACGCAAGUGUGAAACUCAAAGGAAUUGACGGGGGCCCGCACAAGCGGUGGAGUAUGUGGUUUAAUUCGAUGCAACGCGAAGAANCUUACCAAGACUUGACAUGCCGCGAACCCNG
Molecule: ribosomal RNA, 889 nt
Filed under: uncultured bacterium
Lineage: Bacteria
Description: bacterial SSU rRNA
Rfam family: Bacterial small subunit ribosomal RNA
Source: RNAcentral